This 484-nucleotide ribosomal RNA is filed under the name uncultured bacterium. RNAcentral describes it as "partial 16S ribosomal RNA". It matches the Rfam family "Bacterial small subunit ribosomal RNA", at positions 29 to 507 of the family's 1533-position model. The record is from RNAcentral.
AUUGAACGCUGGCGGCAUGCUUUACACAUGCAAGUCGAACGGCAGCGCGGGCUUCGGCCUGGCGGCGAGUGGCGAACGGGUGAGUAAUACAUCGGAACGUGCCCAGUAGUGGGGGAUAGCUCGGCGAAAGCCGGAUUAAUACCGCAUACGACCUGAGGGUGAAAGCGGGGGAUCUUCGGACCUCGCGCUAUUGGAGCGGCCGAUGGCAGAUUAGCUAGUUGGUGGGGUAAAGGCCUACCAAGGCGACGAUCUGUAGCUGGUCUGAGAGGACGACCAGCCACACUGGGACUGAGACACGGCCCAGACUCCUGCGGGAGGCAGCAGUGGGGAAUUUUGGACAAUGGGCGAAAGCCUGAUCCAGCAAUGCCGCGUGUGUGAUGAAGGCCUUCGGGUUGUAAAGCACUUUUGGCGGGAACGAAAAGGACUAUGCCAAUACCACGGUUCGAUGACGGUACCCGCAGAAUAAGCACCGGCUAACUACGUG